UACUGCAGUGAGUUCUAUGAAGC
RNAcentral lists this microRNA (23 nucleotides) under Rattus norvegicus (Norway rat). RNAcentral describes it as "rno-miR-6321". Lineage: Eukaryota; Metazoa; Chordata; Mammalia; Rodentia; Muridae. The record is from miRBase by way of RNAcentral.